UUUUUUUUUUUUUUUCUUGGCUGCUUUUGAGCAUUUCUGAUGGGCCCCAGCAGAGUGAGCACUGGCUGUGCAUCCAAAUGUAGCAGGUACAGUGCAUCUGCACGCUGCACUGGGAUGUUAAUGAAUGUUGGCAGCAGGAGAUUGGCAAAGGAAGAGUCCUGUAAGAAAAGCCUUUUCUUUAAAAAAGUUCUUUUGUGUCCCAUGGCUGGGGAACAGAGUUUAGUGCAUGUCCAAUAGGUUGCAGACUGACUUUUCAUCACUGUGACUGUGAAUUUAUGUCCUAUUGUCCAAAGUGUUGGUAUAAACCUUGCACAACAGUCUGGAAGUGCCAGGUCUCCAGAGCAUGGGCUCUGAGGUACACCUCGUAUCUGCUCUGCCUUUUUCCACAGCCAGGAGUCCAGCUUAAUACAUGUGACUGAACCCAAGUCUCUGGGAUGUGUGUCUGCUGUCCCACGUGAAUAACAAAAUUCCAUCAGCUUUUUUUGUAGGGUUUGCUUUCAUGCCCUUCAUUAAAACAUUAACGGUGUUGCUCUCCUCUGUUCUAGCUGUGGCUGGCUUCCUUUGUACAUUCCUCCUGCACAAGAUGGUGUACUACAAAUGUGUAUUGAGCAGUAGGACAGAUCACCUCCAAGUGAGCGAACUCAGAGAAGUUUGGAGGCUUGUCCCUAACCACAUGCUGGCUCUAUGGUUCCCCUGAGGCAGAGCCAAGUCAAGAGUGCAGCCAGUCAUCCCUCAGACCGCUGCCACGUGCUCAAGUCAAACUGCUACAGACACCAAGAUGGUCUCCAGCACAGGGAUGCCCAAACUGUGCUCAGCAGACCUAAGGCUAUGUGAGGAUGGUUGGCCUGAUGAACUAAUGUUCAUUUCCAUUUUUGAGGAAUGCGGCUGAUGAAAGUAAGAUAAAACUAAGAGCAAAAGAAAAGCUUAAGGAAGUCAAAAAAGCAUGCAUAUUUUUAUAACAAUUCUUCCGUGCAUUAGUGGCUGUACCAGCAACAGAGGUAUAAUGUGAUCUGCGUUGAAAAGGAACAGGACUUGACAUUGAGUGAGAAAAGAAGUCACAGUAUGAUCUCUGUGUGGUGGUGUUAUCAAAAGUACUGAACAAACAACAUGGUGAGCAGUGGGACUCGAGGUGGGACACCUUUCCUGCACAGGCUUUCUACUGCCUGGCACCCAUACUGCUCUCUCCGUAUGGACCUUUCCUCAGCUGAUUUGGACAUCUCUUGUAGUCAUUAAGUUGGAGAACAUAAAUAUUGUUGGUGUCUCAAUCUCUUGUUAUAUUCAGCUGAAGUUGAUCUAUGGUUACAAAUGUUAGAGCGAGAUGAGGUGAGCCAGCUUUCUUCAAGAAGCCAAGAUAAAAGGGGUAAGACUGUCAGCCAAAAAAAUAGGGAAAGUUAAACUUCACAUAUCUCUCUGAUGAAAAACAAGCACAAUAUAUCUUUCAGAAAGAAAAA
Long non-coding RNA from Anas platyrhynchos (mallard), 1451 nucleotides. RefSeq lists it as uncharacterized. NCBI's taxonomy places the organism in Eukaryota, Metazoa, Chordata, Aves, Anseriformes, Anatidae. The record is from RefSeq and is a predicted model, not a curated record.